GGACCGGCUGGGUACGCGCCAGUGAUCGAGCGCAGCUCGCGUGCUCUAGAUUCAGUCUGAUCCUGGCUCAGGAUGAACGCUGGCGGCGUGCCUAACACAUGCAAGUCGAACGAAGCAUCCCGCCCGAAGAAGAGGAGAGCUUGCUCAAAUCGGAUUCAAUUGGGAUGACUUAGUGGCGGACGGGUGAGUAACGCGUGGGUAACCUGCCGUAUACAGGGGGAUUACAUUUAGAAAUGACUGCUAAUACCGCAUAAGCGCACAGUAUCGCAUGAUACAGUGUGAAAAGCCGAGAUGGCCCCCCGACGGACCCGCGUCUGAUUAGCCAGUUGGCAUGUUAACGGCCUACCAAAGCACCGCUCACUAGCCGGCCUGAGAGCCCCGAACGGCCACAUUGGGACUGAGACACGGCCCAAACUCCUACGGGAGGCAGCAGUGGGGGAUAUUGCACAAUGGGGGAAACCCUGAUGCAGCGACGCCGCGUGAGUGAAGAAGUAUUUCGGUAUUGUAAAGCUCUAUCAGCAGGAAGAAAAUGACGUACUGACUAGAGCUCGGCUAAUACUGCAGCAGCGCGGUAUACGUACGGACAGCGUAUCGAUUUACUGGGUGUAAGGGCGUAACGUUGGCCAGCUGAGUGAAAGAGUGGCUCACCCCACUCUUGAAACUGGGGUAAUAAUGC
This 676-nucleotide ribosomal RNA is filed under the name uncultured bacterium. RNAcentral describes it as "bacterial SSU rRNA". It matches the Rfam family "Bacterial small subunit ribosomal RNA", at positions 1 to 649 of the family's 1533-position model. The record is from RNAcentral.